Molecule: long non-coding RNA, 804 nt
Organism: Quercus lobata
Lineage: Eukaryota; Viridiplantae; Streptophyta; Magnoliopsida; Fagales; Fagaceae
Exons: 5
Source: RefSeq, a predicted model, not a curated record
UUAACCGGUGAAAAUUAUGCACCAAGAUAGAAAUAGAGAGGAGCAAUGAGGGCACGGAGAGUAACAGAGGAAGAGAGAGGCGAUUUUGCAGACCCAAAACACCGUUUACCGCAAAACAAAACCCAAUUCUCUUCUAAAAACUGAAAUUAAAACCCAUAACUCCUCUGUCUUCUCAGAAAGAUUGCUACAUGGAGAAAGGAGAAAGAGAGAUCGACAAAAAAGAGAGACAGAGAAAUAGAGAGGCAGAGAUAGAGAGAAGGGCGCCGCCCAGAUCUCCUGCCAUCACUGUAAGGGCGCCUUCCAUUUUUCCUACUACACAGAGAUGAGAAGGAGACAAACAUUGAGAGGACUACCACUUAACAGAAAGUAGAAAAGGUCAAGAGAGAAUCAAAAGCAUGUCCAACAAAGGAUGUAAUUUCACCAUGAUUGGUUGGAGAUUUGGAGUUGACGGAAUACCCCUUCACUUUCUCUAAAACAAUCUAUCACUAACACAGAUUUACACUGUUCUCUACCAGAUACGAUGGUUUGGUAUUUUGCAAGAAGAGAUACCGAAUCAUAUUGAAAGGUUUAGAAGCAGAUAAGAUCAUUGGUUGUUGUUCAAGAAGAGUUACUAAAUUAAAUUGAAAGGCAUUUGUGAUGGAUGCACCCAGUUACUCAACAAGUCACAAACUUGAAGUGCUUUUGCAUGCUCAUAUUUCAAGUUACAAUUUGAUGUAAGAGUAAACAUUGGUAAUGAAUACCCCUAGUUACUAAGCAACUCAAAACAUUAGAGUAAAUGGAACUUUGUACAAUUUUCUUCUUCUU